UACUUGUACCGACUGGAUGAGCAGCGAACGGGUGAGUAACGCGUGGGGAAUCUGCCUUUGAGCGGGGGACAACAUUUGGAAACGAAUGCUAAUACCGCAUAAAAACUUUAAACACAAGUUUUAAGUUUGAAAGAUGCAAUUGCAUCACUCAAAGAUGAUCCCGCGUUGUAUUAGCUAGUUGGUGAGGUAAAGGCUCACCAAGGCGAUGAUACAUAGCCGACCUGAGAGGGUGAUCGGCCACAUUGGGACUGAGACACGGCCCAAACUCCUACGGGAGGCAGCAGUAGGGAAUCUUCGGCAAUGGACGAAAGUCUGACCGAGCAACGCCGCGUGAGUGAAGAAGGUUUUCGGAUCGUAAAACUCUGUUGGUAGAGAAGAACGUUGGUGAGAGUGGAAAGCUCAUCAAGUGACGGUAACUACCCAGAAAGGGACGGCUAACUACGUGCCAGCAGCCGCGGUAAUACGUAGGUCCCGAGCGUUGUCCGGAUUUAUUGGGCGUAAAGCGAGCGCAGGUGGUUUAUUAAGUCUGGUGUAAAAGGCAGUGGCUCAACCAUUGUAUGCAUUGGAAACUGGUAGACUUGAGUGCAGGAGAGGAGAGUGGAAUUCCAUGGGUAAGCGGUGUGUGAAAAC
Molecule: ribosomal RNA, 630 nt
Filed under: Lactococcus lactis
Lineage: Bacteria; Bacillati; Bacillota; Bacilli; Lactobacillales; Streptococcaceae
Description: bacterial SSU rRNA
Rfam family: Bacterial small subunit ribosomal RNA
Source: RNAcentral